This is a long non-coding RNA of Arabidopsis lyrata subsp. lyrata, 1679 nucleotides long. RefSeq lists it as uncharacterized. The record is from RefSeq and is a predicted model, not a curated record. The transcript has 2 exons. NCBI's taxonomy places the organism in Eukaryota, Viridiplantae, Streptophyta, Magnoliopsida, Brassicales, Brassicaceae.
UACAAACAAUCCUAACCCUAUUUCUUCUUCUUCAUUCUUUCUCUUUUACACGAUUUCGAUCUCAAGCUUUGGAAACCAAUCUCUCUCCCUCGUCUCGAUCUCGCGAAACCAAUUUUCAGUGAUGUGAGAUCUCUCGUCCUUGGUUACUUCUGAUCCGAAGUUGAAUCUCUACCUCGCUAGCUUUUUGGGCAGAGCUUCAAGGUUCAUAACCAAGACUAAACCGGAGAAGACUUGGUCCAAGUGUCAUAGAUAAAAGAUACGAUCAUGUGUUCCUAAGUUUUAGGGAAAUGAUCUCCACAUUCCCAUUUAUCCAUGUUCCUAGUUUGUAGGAUUUGUGAAUGAUCCUUUUGCUUUCUUUGUGUAUUUAAGAACUUCAAAGUCAUGAGAAUGGAUUAGACUUGAAAAUUGACAAAACAGAGUUUAUCUCUUUACUCUUUAGUUACAUGUUCUUAUGUGUUCUUGUGUUAAACAAAACACUUCUCUCUGGCUUUGAGGAGGGACCACCUAUCACUCAUCAACUUGGUGGGUUUUUUUUCGUUAUUCUCUAAGUAUCCAUGGAGCUUGUCUUCUCAUUGAUUCAUAAAUCCAUCCAUAUUUCUGUUGCUUUGCAGAAAGUCUUGAAAUUGUUAAAAUGAAUUAGUUUUGUUUUAGCUUUUCUGUUCUCUGUUUUUGUUAUAGCUUUGAUUUUGAUGCAAUGGAUUAGUUUCUAAAGAGUUUUUGUACAAUGGGUGUGUUUAGUUUUGCCGUUGUUGAUUCUUGUAUUUGGCAUCUUGUAUUCUUUGUUUUCUCUUCUUGAUUGGUCAGAUCCUUAAGAAUCCAUUAACCCAUUUAACUUUUAGAUUUUGUUUAGUGAAGAUUUGUAGGGACUGGUUCAUGUUUGAUCUUUGGGGUUAUCUUAUAUCUAGACGACAUGUUCAUGUUUGUAUGUAUAAUUCGAUUGUAGUAUUGAUACAUUGAGAAGAAAACUGAUUUGAGUUUAUCUGGAACCUUUGAUGAGGAGAUUGUAGAGUCAAUCACUUAAUUAUGAUGUUGAGAUUUGAGCCGUUAACAACAGAUUAUGAAACCAACAUUGUAUUAUAGCUAAAGUUCAGGUAUAAAGACGAAAGACAUGACUUUGGGAGAUUAGCUAAAAGCUAGUCUUUUUCUUGUUUGCGUCAUCUGCUAUUUUCCCAUUAUAGUUCAUAAGAAACUUUGUUUUGAAGAACUUGUCAAGGGUUCACAGUAUUGUAGUUCAUAAGAGACUUUGUUUAAGGAAAGUUCAUAUUAGUUACUGUUUCAUGUCUUCACUAACGCUUGUUAAUUGACUCUCAUGCUUUAUGAUUCUGUCUCUUGCUUCACGAAAGUAAAGUCCACCUUUAGUUGUCAAAAUGAGUAGUACAACUAAAGGUUAGUACUAUUGAUAUAUGAUCUCUGACGUUAAAGGCUUAAAGCUGAAGAAGAAGAAGAAGGAGAAGAAGGAGAAGAAUAACAUAUUGCAUAUGAGUCGAUCGGUGAUAGAGGCAUAGAGCGAUGGAAGCUUAGCAUGACAACAUUACCAAUGAAUGUAAUAAAGGUCGUUUACCUUAUUAGAUAUUUUUUUAUUUUUUUUUGUUUAUGACUUGGUUUAUUAUUUAUUUUAGUUAAUGACUUUGUCUAUCUUUAUUGUUUAUGACUUGGUAUAUUACGUUUAGUUAACUGUU